RNAcentral lists this non-coding RNA (863 nucleotides) under Physalaemus maculiventris (Mantagnes dwarf frog). Its description in RNAcentral is "partial 12S ribosomal RNA". It matches the Rfam family "Bacterial small subunit ribosomal RNA". Lineage: Eukaryota; Metazoa; Chordata; Amphibia; Anura; Leptodactylidae. The record is from RNAcentral.
AUACACAUGCAAGUCUCCGCACCCCUGUGAAAACGCCCUUCAAUCCCUCUAGGGAUAAGGAGCUGGUAUCAGGCUCGAAAUUCUGCCCAAAACACCUAGCUAUGCCACACCCACAAGGGAACUCAGCAGUGAUUAACAUUGAGAAUAAGCGACAGCUUGACUCAGUUAAAGUAAAAAGAGCCGGCUAAUCUGGUGCCAGCCGCCGCGGUUACACCACGUGGCUCAAAUUGAUUUUAAUCGGCGUAAAGCGUGAUUUAAGAAACAAAGAAUUAAAAUUAAACUCAAACUAAGCUGUGACACGCUUGCCUGUAAGAAAACCAAAUACGAAAGUUAUUUCAAUUAACCCAACUUGAAUUCACGACAGUUAGGGUACAAACUGGGAUUAGAUACCCCACUAUGCCUAACCGUAAACUUUAAUUUACACACACAUCGCCAGGGAACUACGAGCCAAGCUUAAAACCCAAAGGACUUGACGGUACCCCAAAUCCACCUAGAGGAGCCUGUCCUAUAAUCGAUAACCCCCGUUUAACCUCACCACUUCUAGCUACUCAGCCUGUAUACCUCCGUCGUCAGCUUACCACGUGAGCGAAUAUUAGUGAGCUUAAUGCCAAUACACCAACACGUCAGGUCAAGGUGCAGCACAUGAAGUGGGAAGAGAUGGGCUACACUUUCUAACCUAGAAAAUACAAAAGACUACCUAUGAAACCUAGUCUGAAGGCGGAUUUAGAAGUAAAAAGAAACAAGAGUGUUCUCUUUAACUAGGCACUGGGGUGUGUACACACCGCCCGUCACCCUCUUCAAAGCUAAUAAAAAGUUCUUAACUAACUCAUGCUAUAUAGAAGAGGCAAGUCGUAACAUGGUAA